This is a long non-coding RNA of Gallus gallus (chicken), 465 nucleotides long. RefSeq lists it as uncharacterized. The record is from RefSeq and is a predicted model, not a curated record. Lineage: Eukaryota; Metazoa; Chordata; Aves; Galliformes; Phasianidae. The transcript is spliced from 4 exons.
AAAGUGUUGCCGUGCUAGGCAAAUGUAUGAGAAUGAUGAAUUCAGUAGUACGCGAGAAGAGGUCAGAUGCUGCAUUGAGUAUCUUCCGUGAGCGAGGAAAUGCUGAACUUCAGCUCAGUAUAUCACUGCUGAAGCUGUGCCCGGCCAUGGGAGAUGACAAGCAGUUGCUACCAGCCAAGCUUUAAAUUAGGAGAGAAGAACCUUUUUCAUUACAUUCCAAAGAAUUGUGAAAGAUGUGGAAAUCACUGCUUGGAAAACUGUACUUCUACAGGGAGCUGAGUGAAGUCCUACUGAUUCUCACUGCAAUGAAGUACUCAGGACACUUUUUUUGAGCCCACCACUACAGUCAUCACAAAGACAACACUUAGUCCAAGAAGAUUCUAGGCCUUCUUCAGAAGGUGCUGCUAAUUCCCCUAUUUUCUUCCAGAAAUGGGAAAAAUGAUCUAUAUUAGGAAAUGCGUUCUU